UUCCGGUUGAUCCUGCCGGAGGUCACUGCUAUCGGGGUUCGAUUAAGCCAUGCGAGUCGAGAGGGUUCGGCCCUCGGCGUACUGCUCAGUAACACGUGGAUAACCUGCCCUAGGGGAGGGGAUAACCCCGGGAAACUGGGGAUAAUACCCUAUAGGUUACAGAUGCUGGAAUGCCCUGUAACCAAAAGCUCCGGCGCCCUAGGAUGGAUCUGCGGCCGAUUAGGUUGUUGUUGGGGUAACGGCCCAACAAGCCCGUAAUCGGUACGGGUUGUGGGAGCAAGAGCCCGGAGUUGGAUUCUGAGACACGAAUCCAGGCCCUACGGGGCGCAGCAGGCGCGAAACCUUUACAAUGCGGGCAACCGUGAUAAGGGAACCUCGAGUGCCUGUAAACGCAGGCUGUUCAGGUGUUUAAAACGCACCUGGAGAAAGGGCCGGGCAAGACCGGUGCCAGCCGCCGCGGUAAUACCGGCGGCUCGAGUGGUGGCCGCUUUUAUUGGGCUUAAAGCGUUCGUAGCUGGGUUGUUAAGUCUCUUGGGAAAUCUGGCGGCUUAACCGUCAGGCGUCUAAGGGAUACUGGCAAUCUUGGAACCGGGAGAGGUGAGGGGUACUUCGGGGGUAGGGGUGAAAUCCUGUAAUCCUCGAGGGACCACCUGUGGCGAAGGCGCCUCACCAGAACGGCUUCGACAGUGAGGGACGAAAGCUGGGGGAGCAAACCGGAUUAGAUACCCGGGUAGUCCCAGCCGUACACGAUGCGCGUUANGUGUAUCGGUGACCCCGANUUACCGAGGUGGCCG
This 794-nucleotide ribosomal RNA is filed under the name uncultured archaeon. Its description in RNAcentral is "bacterial SSU rRNA". It matches the Rfam family "Archaeal small subunit ribosomal RNA", at positions 1 to 803 of the family's 1478-position model. The record is from RNAcentral.